AUUGAACGCUGGCGGCAGGCCUAACACAUGCAAGUCGAACGAGUGGCGGACGGGGGAGUCAUGUCUGGGAAACUGCCUGCUGGAGGGGGAUAACUACUGGGAACAGUACCUCAUACCGCAUACCCUCGGGUGUACCCAGAUGGGAUUAGCUAGUAGGUGGGGUAAAGGCUCACCUAGGCGACGAUCCCUCGCUGGUCUGAGAGGAUGACCAGCCACACUGGAACUGAGACACGGUCCAGACUCUUACGGGAGGCAGCAGUGGGGAAUAUUGCACAAUGGGCGAAAGCCUGAUGCAGCCAUGCCGCGUGUAUGAAGAAGGCCUUCGGGUUGUAAAGUACUUUCAGCGGGGAGGCGUUACCCGCAGAAGAAGCACCGGCUAACUCCGUGCCAGCCGCCGCGGUAAUAC
Molecule: ribosomal RNA, 406 nt
Filed under: uncultured bacterium
Lineage: Bacteria
Description: partial 16S ribosomal RNA
Rfam family: Bacterial small subunit ribosomal RNA
Source: RNAcentral